AAAUUAAGAAGGAUUAUUAGUGAGGUGGAGGAACAACCCUACAUGCAUGCAGACAUGUAUGUGUCUAGUCGGCUAAUGCGUUUCGCCACACCGCCGUCUAAAUCGAAGGCAACUUUUGGACUCGUUCUCCGUCGUCUCGCCGAUCCGAAAUUUGGAAAGGAGAAAGAACUUGGUCUACACGUACGCGAUGCCGCCCUUAACAGCCGGACUUUCGGUGCGCCCCGAAUGAUUAGAGGGGCGCCCCUCGCAUCGCAUCGUCGAUCAUGGUGUGGUGUCAUGGUAAGCUUUUCUUCCCUUUUUCUCUCCGGUGAUCCGCCAUGAAGGAGGACCCGUGAUCACUACCAUGCGGAGGAUAGCGUAUACGUACUAUGG
RNAcentral lists this long non-coding RNA (372 nucleotides) under Hordeum vulgare. Its description in RNAcentral is "long non-coding RNA (HVUL_LNC002811)". Lineage: Eukaryota; Viridiplantae; Streptophyta; Magnoliopsida; Poales; Poaceae. The record is from RNAcentral.